UCCCUGGAGGACUAGUGGUUAGACCACAGCACUCACACCGCUGAGGCCUGGGUUCAAUUCCUGGCCAGGGAA
Pangasius djambal is the source of this 72-nucleotide non-coding RNA. The record is from the annotation of a GenBank genome assembly. NCBI's taxonomy places the organism in Eukaryota, Metazoa, Chordata, Actinopteri, Siluriformes, Pangasiidae.